UACAGAGGGUGCGAGCGUUGUCCGGAAUCACUGGGCGUAAAGGGCGCGUAGGCGGCCCGGUAAGGUUGCGGUGAAAGCCCGGGGCUCAGCCCCGGGUCGGCCGUGGCAACUGCUGGGCUGGAGCACAGUAGAGGCGGGUGGAAUUCCGGGUGUAGCGGUGGAAUGCGUAGAGAUCCGGAAGAACACCGGUGGCGAAGGCGGCCCGCUGGGCUGUUGCUGACGCUGAGGCGCGACAGCGUGGGGAGCAAACAGG
This 253-nucleotide ribosomal RNA is filed under the name uncultured bacterium. RNAcentral describes it as "partial 16S ribosomal RNA". It matches the Rfam family "Bacterial small subunit ribosomal RNA", at positions 524 to 776 of the family's 1533-position model. The record is from RNAcentral.